Molecule: unclassified non-coding RNA, 1674 nt
Filed under: Hevea brasiliensis (rubber tree)
Lineage: Eukaryota; Viridiplantae; Streptophyta; Magnoliopsida; Malpighiales; Euphorbiaceae
Source: RNAcentral
AUUUUGAAUUGAUUGUGCUUGAUUGCAAGAACUUAUUGAAAGAGUUGUUACAUUGCAUCUCAGUGAAUACUGAAUAAUGUUGCCCAUUUGUUAGCCACAACAUGAUUUCAAGAAAAUUAUGGAUUUUUUUCUAGUGCAGAUCGGGUUCACAUAUUUGCAAUUUAAGUUCAUGGUAGAUCAAUUUAAAUAAGAAUUUUCGGAAAAUUAUAAGAUAGACUUGGUGUGCCAGGUCAGCUUAGUGAUCUGGUACUCCCAAUAAAAAUAUAGCAAAAUAACAAGAAGAGAGCUCUAAGGCUAGAAGAACAAGUAAGCAGAACAAAGUAGCAGCAAUUCCAAGCCAAGACCAAAACAGAACAGGAAUCACGAGAUAAGCCAAGUUGACGCAGCUGUAACAGAGUCUCCUCGAAGCAAUUCGGCAACAAGAAGAGCUUCACAACCAUCAGCAAUCAAGCAAUAGGGACAAAACAUUAUGAUAGCAUCCAGAAGAUUUCAGAAACAAACGGAGAAAUUGCCACAAGCCUACGCCAAACCAGUGAUACAUAAACUAACAGUUGUCCCAGAAUUAAAAACAAGAACUAUUCCAGAACUCAAGGAAUAACACGAAGCACUUCAGGAGAGGUUCCUUCUUGUCUUCCCAAUUACACUAGCUAGCCUUCUCUGCCUCGUGCCUAGUUGUUUGAUCAAUGAAGUUUCAUUAUGUUUCAAAGAAAAAAAAAAUAAUAAGACUCAGCCUCCUCUACCAAUCUACACCAAUUGAGCACUGUUUUUUCUACAGUGCAUGAACAACAGCCUCAGUUGACAGUGCCAUUCUUAUGGUGUCCCUGCCUCUGUCUUGGUGUUUACAGUAUAAUUCUUAUCAUGCCCUUGAUAAGAGAUUGGUGAAUUUAUUGUCUAAAUCUUUAAGGGAUAUUAAUCGUACUAUUAGGUUUACAUGGAUCUAAUAGUACGAUUCACCAUCAACACAAAAUCUGCAUCAUUUUAGUUUUCUUUUUUUGUCAUGUUAAAGAUUUAGCAUUAAAUGCAAUUAGAUUUUGUGGCCUUGCCAAUAAAAAAGUAUUUUUCUUCUCUGAUUUGCUCAGGGAAAUGCAAGAAUGGUUUCACCAUUAAAUCAGAGAGAAUGGAGCUUACUCAUGUAAAAAUUUGUAGCUUUCUGGUGUCCUUAGGUUCUCUACUAUUUCUUUUUUUAUUUUUUUCCUAUUGCCUUGUGCAAGGAGAUGACUAUUUACUAUGGUUCUUUUGCACUCAUUUACUUGCUCCUUUGCUUUUCUCUGCAAGUAAUCCAUCAGUAAUUUGGAGCUAGGGGGCAGAAUCUACGGUUUCUUACUCUCAUGCUGAUGCCCCUCCAUCUUUGCAACUAUUGGUGAAUUGUUGGUCAUAUGGAACAUUUUCCAUUCUGGAAAUUAGUCUUGGAAUGGACGAAAGUGGCCAGGAUCUCAAGAGAGGCAAUCAAGAACCCUGCGAGAUUGUGUUGUAAUUUUCGACAGCAGAAAAAAAAAUCCAAGAGCAAAAGUGAGUGUUUCUUUUGUUUUCUUCGCCAAAAAAGAGGUCGCCUUUUGUAUGAAGUUAAAAGUGAUCCUGAGCCGAUGUUUAACUGGUGAUUGUUUUCAUUGUCUUGAGAGAUUUGAGGGAAUCAAAUAAAAAGCUCAAAACUUAAAAAGAAGAAGAAGAAGAAGA